RNAcentral lists this ribosomal RNA (489 nucleotides) under uncultured bacterium. RNAcentral's name for it is "partial 16S ribosomal RNA". It matches the Rfam family "Bacterial small subunit ribosomal RNA", at positions 30 to 507 of the family's 1533-position model. The record is from RNAcentral.
UUGAACGCUGGCGGCAGGCCUAACACAUGCAAGUCGCACGGUAACAGGAAGCAGCUUGCUGCUUCGCUGACGAGUGGCGGACGGGUGAGUAAUGUCUGGGAAGCUGCCUGAUGGAGGGGGAUAACUACUGGAAACGGUAGCUAAUACCGCAUAAUGUCGCAAGACCCAAGAGGGGGACCUUCGGGCCUCUUGCCAUCGGAUGUGCCCAGAUGGGAUUAGCUUGUUGGUGGGGUAACGGCUCACCAAGGCGACGAUCCCUAGCUGGUCUGAGAGGAUGACCAGCCACACUGGAACUGAGACACGGUCCAGACUCCUACGGGAGGCAGCAGUGGGGAAUAUUGCACAAUGGGCGCAAGCCUGAUGCAGCCGUGCCGCGUGUAUGAAGAAGGCCUUCGGGUUGUAAAGUACUUUCAGCGGGGAGGAAGGGAGUAAAGUUAAUACCUUUGCUCAUUGACGUUACCCGCAGAAGAAGCACCGGCUAACUCCGUG